RNAcentral lists this ribosomal RNA (465 nucleotides) under Vreelandella stevensii. Its description in RNAcentral is "partial 16S ribosomal RNA". It matches the Rfam family "Bacterial small subunit ribosomal RNA", at positions 338 to 795 of the family's 1533-position model. The record is from RNAcentral. Lineage: Bacteria; Pseudomonadati; Pseudomonadota; Gammaproteobacteria; Oceanospirillales; Halomonadaceae.
CCUACGGGAGGCUGCAGUGGGGAAUAUUGGACAAUGGGGGCAACCCUGAUCCAGCCAUGCCGCGUGUGUGAAGAAGGCCCUCGGGUUGUAAAGCACUUUCAGUGAGGAAGAACGCCUGGUGGUUAAUACCCAUCAGGAAAGACAUCACUCACAGAAGAAGCACCGGCUAACUCCGUACCAGCAGCCGCGGUAAUACGGAGGGUGCGAGCGUUAAUCGGAAUUACUGGGCGUAAAGCGCGCGUAGGUGGCUUGAUAAGCCGGUUGUGAAAGCCCCGGGCUCAACCUGGGAACGGCAUCCGGAACUGUCAAGCUAGAGUGCAGGAGAGGAAGGUAGAAUUCCCGGUGUAGCGGUGAAAUGCGUAGAGAUCGGGAGGAAUACCAGUGGCGAAGGCGGCCUUCUGGACUGACACUGACACUGAGGUGCGAAAGCGUGGGUAGCAAACAGGAUUAGAUACCCCUGUAGUC